This 490-nucleotide ribosomal RNA is filed under the name uncultured bacterium. RNAcentral's name for it is "partial 16S ribosomal RNA". It matches the Rfam family "Bacterial small subunit ribosomal RNA", at positions 30 to 507 of the family's 1533-position model. The record is from RNAcentral.
AUUGAACGCUGGCGGCAGGCCUAACACAUGCAAGUCGAACGGUAACAGAAAGCUGCUUGCUGCUGUGCUGACGAGGGGCGGGCGAGUGAGUAAUGUGUGGGAAACUGCCGAAUUGAGGAGGAUAACUACUGGAAACGGUAGCUAAUACCGCGUAGCGUCUCAAGCCCAGAGAGGGUGGGCUUGUGUCCGCUUUCCGUCGUGUGUUCGCAGAUGGGAUGAGCUAUGGGGGGGGGUAACGUCUCACCUAGGCGACGAGGCCUAGCUGGUCUGAGAGUAUGACCAGCCACCCUGGAACGGAGCCACGGUCAAGACUCCUACGGGAGGCAGCAGUGGGGAAUAUUGCACAAUGGGCGGAAGCAUGAUGCAGCCAUGCCGCGUGUAUGAAGACGGCCUUCGGGUUGUAAAGUCCUUUCAGCGGUGAGGAAGCGCGUAAAGUUAAUACCUUUCCUGAUUGACGUUAACCGCAGAAGAAGCACCGGCUAACUACGUG